CCUACGGGAGACAGCAGUGGGGAAUAUUGCACAAUGGGGGAAACCCUGAUGCAGCGACGCCGCGUGAAGGAAGAAGUAUUUCGGUAUGUAAACUUCUAUCAGCAGGGAAGAAAAUGACGGUACCUGACUAAGAAGCCCCGGCUAACUCCGUGCCAGCAGCCGCGGUAAUACGGAGGGGGCAAGCGUUAUCCGGAUUUACUGGGUGUAAAGGGAGCGUAGGCGGUUCAGCAAGUCAGAAGUGAAAGCCCGGGGCUCAACUCCGGGACUGCAUUUGAAACUGUUGAACUAGAUUACAGGAGAGGUAAGUGGAAUUCCUGGUGUAGCGGUGAAAUGCGUAGAUAUUAGGAGGAACCCCAGUGGCGAAGGCGGCUUACUGAACUGUAAAUGACGCUGAGGCUCGAAAGCGUGGGGAGCAAACAGGAUUAGAUACCCCUGUAGUC
RNAcentral lists this ribosomal RNA (440 nucleotides) under uncultured bacterium. Its description in RNAcentral is "partial 16S ribosomal RNA". It matches the Rfam family "Bacterial small subunit ribosomal RNA", at positions 338 to 795 of the family's 1533-position model. The record is from RNAcentral.